Epinephelus moara (kelp grouper) is the source of this 370-nucleotide long non-coding RNA. RefSeq lists it as uncharacterized. Lineage: Eukaryota; Metazoa; Chordata; Actinopteri; Perciformes; Serranidae. The transcript is spliced from 4 exons. The record is from RefSeq and is a predicted model, not a curated record.
UGCUGUUUUGACAAAGACUGGUGCAGUGUUUACAUUUGGCUCCGGUCAGUAUGGACAGCUUGGGCACAACUCAUUCAACGAUGAACUACGACCUCGGCUUGUUGCAGAGCUCUGGGGGGCAAAGGUCACCAGGAUUGCUUGUGGACGACAUCACACAUUAGUGUUGACGGACUCAAAGAAGGUCUACUCCUUUGGGUGUGGAGAGCAGGGGCAACUGGGACAUGGAGAGGAGAGUCAUCAAUCUGUGCCGCUACCUGUUCAACUGCCACAGGACACCGCUGAUGAUGCUAAAAUUAGAAACAUCUUCGCAGGAGGAAACUGUUCGUUUGCAACAUGCACAUAUAAUGAGGUACCAGCACACAUACACACG